CUAUGAAUGCCGUGAGUGUGAGAACCUUCAAUCGCAGCUCAAACCUUGUUACUCAUCAGAGAACCACACAGGGGAGAGGCCCUAUGAAUGCUAAACAAGGACUUUCAGGCUGUGGAAAUGAUGGUAACCAAUGAGGCAAGGAACGUGUCCGGUUCCAAUUUCAGACUUCCAGAUACUCGCAUGUUGAGUCCUGAUUCUCUGGUUUUGUGUCUGAUGCUCCGGCUUCACAAUAAAGCUGAUGUUGGCACAGCUGCCCCAAUGUAGCUGCACUGGUGUAGCAUGCUAUUACAGAUGCUCUAAGCCAAUGGGAGAGAUCUCUCCCGUCGGACUUCAUUAGUCCAGCCCCCUCAAGCUAUAUGUCCUGCUGACGUAGCGCUAUCUACACAGGGCGUUAGGGCUGUGUAACUACAUUGCUCAACUCUGGAUUUUUCACACCCCUGAGCAAUAUAGUUAUACCGAUAAAUGCCUUUAGUGUAGGACAGUUUUCUCUUGUGUUUUAUGCAUUUACAUCCCUUCUCCUCUACCUCCUCCUACUUUGAAAGAUUAAAAAGUGUGAAAAGAGA
Non-coding RNA from Caretta caretta (loggerhead turtle), 563 nucleotides. Lineage: Eukaryota; Metazoa; Chordata; Testudines; Cheloniidae. The record is from RefSeq and is a predicted model, not a curated record.